CUAACUGGGCUCUUGUUUUAUGUAUUAGCUGCUGGUUUCGCGGUCGAGGGUCGGGGGUGAGGUCUCUCUCCUGUUCAUUGCCCUUUGCCUAGCGGUGCCUUCCUGGCCGUCUGUGCUGUUGAGAGGUCAGUUGACCUUGGCCCGACUUCCCCGUGUCCAUAUCGGUCGGGUAUGCAUGUGUCUGUGUGCCGUGGCGUGGCUGCACACGGUCGUGUGUGUGCGUGCAUUAUUUGCGGCUGUUCGUCUUCGCCGUCUUAUCUUUGUUUUGAGGGAGGGGCGUUUCCCUCCCUCCCUCCCCCUCAUUGAUGGUGAUUGCGGAGAGCGAUGCCCUUAACGCGGUGUGGGAUGGAACAUCGUGUCGGCAUUCCCUCUUCUCCGUGACGUGGGUAGUGCGACGGCCCUUAAUACGCGUUGGUGCCCAUGCGCGUGCGUCUGUAGGCUCUCUGUAUCCCAUGCAUCACUGGUGAAGGUGCAUUAGAAGUAGUCGAUAACGCCGUGUGGAUGAGGGGGUGGGUCGCGGAGGGAUCCGACCAGAAAACACGAAGGGCGCACCAGUGGAAAUGGCGCAUCCCGGGCAGCAAGAGGGACGGUGGGGACAUUGGGGACGGUGAUGGGUGCGCUCGGGCUCGGCUCGCCGUGUCGUGCUGUUCGUGACAGUCGGCACCAGCUUGUCCGGUCAUGCGGUGGGCCCACCUGCCUCUCUCUUUUACUCGCCGCAUCCGCUGGCCAUCUCGCCAGGUGUGUUUUCUCCCGUGUGUGUGCAAGCCAUGAUCACCUGCUCGUGACUCAGCGGUGGGGCUCAGCCUCUCUGCUCUCCUGCCCUUCCUCUCUC
Molecule: unclassified non-coding RNA, 832 nt
Filed under: Leishmania donovani
Lineage: Eukaryota; Euglenozoa; Kinetoplastea; Trypanosomatida; Trypanosomatidae
Description: gene:unknown
Source: RNAcentral